This is a non-coding RNA of Aegilops tauschii subsp. strangulata, 1584 nucleotides long. The record is from RefSeq and is a predicted model, not a curated record. NCBI's taxonomy places the organism in Eukaryota, Viridiplantae, Streptophyta, Magnoliopsida, Poales, Poaceae.
GGUGGCGCGGGGCCAACGCGCGCGAGCGUACUCGAGAGAGAGGAAAAUACCAAUGUGUGCGCGCGGGUGCUAACCCUACCUGUGAAUUGACCGAGGGCUCUGCCCCAGGCCCAGGAGCCGCCUCCCCCAUCUUUCCGUCCUGACACAGGCGGAUCUGGAUCAGGCUUCCCUCAUCCCCUACCCUCGUUCAUCCUCCUGCCGGCGGCCAUGGCGACGCGCCCGCCGCUCGUCCGGCCGCCCUUCUCGCCUCGACCCGCUACCCAUGCCCUUCUGGCGCCCCUCUGUAAUCGGCAGUUGAUGCACGCGAGACGCGUCCAUGGAAUCAUGCCGCUCGCCGACGGCAGAUCGAGCGCCGUCGUCGAUCCGCGAGCUCCGUGCCGUUUCCUGGCGGCCAAGAGCACCUUCCGCCAACGGCCAGCAGUGCAUGCAAUCGCCGGCUUGGAUAUUUCAUCCAGCUGACUGCGCCGUGUAGGUCUCUAAGCUUGCAUGGUGUUUCCUAGCUCUGGAGAUCGACAAAUCCAUCUGCGACGAGGAGCUAAUUGCAUACCCAUCCACCGAUUUUAUCCUCUGCAGCCCGCUUGCUAUUUAGAGUUCAUGCUGCUCCUCUCUGCCAUGCCACCGUAGCAGUGGAAGAGAGAUACCCAAAGGAGAGCGCGAGCACGGUGGCAUCAAAUAUGUCGAUGAACAAAGGAUAUAUCCAUGGUAGUUUGGUUGUCACCUGUCGGUGAGCUCUAGACGGGAAGUGACUUUCGACAAGGUGUGCAGUUAUCGUCGGUAGGGGGGAAGCUCGUCUCCAUGGUAGCCGGCGGUGCUCAUGGCGGUCCGUGCCGUUUCCCCUCGUCGUCCGGUGAGAAACAUCUUUUGCCGACGGCCAAAGGUGCAUGGCUGGCAUGGCUGCCCUUUUCGUAGCCAUAUAAUCGGUAGCAGCGCCUGACUUGACACAUCUAUCUAUCCAUCCUCGAGCCUCUACAACCAGGGGGUCAUGACAAUUUGGCGCCGUAGCGGUGGGAGAGCAAUACAAGAAGGAGGUUGCACGGUGGGAUCAAUGUCGACGCAAACGAGCUAUAUGAUGCCCUUUUUGUUAAUUUCUAAAGUAGUGGUUGUCCGCGAGCUCCAGACGAGAAGUAACUUGCUACAAGAUGAACCGGCAAUGGAUGUACGGUGACAGACACACCUCCGAGUACAUUAAGGGCGUGCAUGAUUUUCUCGAAAUGGCUGAGGCAAACAAGCAGAAUGGUUUUAUGUGUUGUCCAUGCCCUACAUGUGGGAAUACGAAGUCUUACUCUGACCGGAAAAUCCUUCAUGCCCACCUGCUUUACAAGGGUUUCAUGCCACACUAUAAUGUUUGGACGAGGCACGGAGAAAUGGGGGUUAUGAUGGAAGACGGCGAAGAAGAAGAGGACGAUGACAACUAUGUGCCCCCUGAAUACGGUGAUGCUGCAACGGGGGAAGCUGCUGAAGAUCAAGAGGAACCAGACGAUGUGCCCAAUGAUGCUGCAAGGGGGGAAGCUGCUGAAGAUGAAGAGGAACCAGUGCCCGAUGAUGAUGAUCUCCGCCGGGUCAUUGUCGAUGCAAGGACGCAAU